Molecule: ribosomal RNA, 467 nt
Filed under: uncultured bacterium
Lineage: Bacteria
Description: bacterial SSU rRNA
Rfam family: Bacterial small subunit ribosomal RNA
Source: RNAcentral
UGAGGAAUAUUGGACAAUGGGCGCAAGCCUGAUCCAGCCAUGCCGCGUGCAGGAUGGCGGUCCUAUGGAUUGUAAACUGCUUUUGUACAGGAAGAAACAGUUCUACGUGUAGAACCUUGACGGUACUGUAAGAAUAAGGAUCGGCUAACUCCGUGCCAGCAGCCGCGGUAAUACGGAGGAUCCAAGCGUUAUCCGGAAUCAUUGGGUUUAAAGGGUCCGUAGGCGGUUAGAUAAGUCAGUGGUGAAAGCCCAUCGCUCAACGGUGGAACGGCCAUUGAUACUGUCUGACUUGAAUUAUUAGGAAGUAACUAGAAUAUGUAGUGUAGCGGUGAAAUGCUUAGAGAUUACAUGGAAUACCAAUUGCGAAGGCAGGUUACUACUAAUGGAUUGACGCUGAUGGACGAAAGCGUGGGUAGCGAACAGGAUUAGAUACCCUUGUAGUCCCUGAGCGGGCUGGCAAGGCGCAU